UACGAAGGGGGCUAGCGUUGUUCGGAAUCACUGGGCGUAAAGCGCACGUAGGCGGACUUCUAAGUCAGGGGUGAAAUCCCAGGGCUCAACCCUGGAACUGCCCUUGAUACUGGAAGUCUCGAGUCCGGGAGAGGUGAGUGGAACUCCGAGUGUAGAGGUGAAAUUCGUAGAUAUUCGGAAGAACACCAGUGGCGAAGGCGGCUCACUGGCCCGGUACUGACGCUGAGGUGCGAAAGCGUGGGGAGCAAACAGG
RNAcentral lists this ribosomal RNA (253 nucleotides) under uncultured bacterium. RNAcentral describes it as "partial 16S ribosomal RNA". It matches the Rfam family "Bacterial small subunit ribosomal RNA", at positions 524 to 776 of the family's 1533-position model. The record is from RNAcentral.